AAGUCGUAACAAGGUUUCCGUAGGUGAACCUGCGGAAGGAUCAUUAAUGAUUUUAAAGCGAGUCGAGCGUUAAGCGAGGCUUGCGAAAAUAUUUAAAACCCCACUCUUUUUAACUUUAAAAAAAAAUAAAUCAUGAUACAUGAAUUUAAAAAAAAGAUCACUUUCAACAACGGAUCUCUUGGCUCUC
RNAcentral lists this unclassified non-coding RNA (187 nucleotides) under Funneliformis sp. Its description in RNAcentral is "partial internal transcribed spacer region". The stretch from base 1 to 46 matches the Rfam family "Eukaryotic small subunit ribosomal RNA", at positions 1786 to 1831 of the family's 1831-position model. Lineage: Eukaryota; Fungi; Glomeromycota; Glomeromycetes; Glomerales; Glomeraceae. The record is from RNAcentral.